CUUUUUUCAGAUUCAAGGAAUAAGAUGGAGGUAUUUGGAAAAUCUCCCAUGGUUACAUCUGCCAAUGUUAUUUACUUGUCUGCAAUUCUGGGUCGCGAUUGCGAUGGACCCAAUCAGUGUCACAAAUGUGAUUGGAAAUGUGAGAAUGAAAUUGUUUGUGGGAAUAUGUAUCGCUGCAAACUAACUGGGCUGACUCAUGUCUGCGACAAGAAUUGUAACCAGCGGAUUCUCUAUGAUAACCAUAGCUCUUUGUGCCGUGCCAGCGGGAGGAUUUUCCCUCUCUCAUCGGUUGAGGAGCAGGCGGUUAAAGGGGUUCGGAGGAAGCUUGACGCUGCUGAGAGUCAUCCUUCUGAGAGCUGUUCGUUUAAGCGUCGUCGUCGUGAUGCUCAGUUCCAUGCUUCUCCUUUCGAGAGGUCUUUUACUGCUGUGAGCCCCAUCUGCAGCCCAGCUGGAGACGGAAUGGAGUUGAUUUAGAUCCAUGUUGAUCUCCUCAAAUCCUGAGACUGAGAGGCUUCUUUAUCUUACAGCCUGACACACCAUGGCUGAUUUCUGUAAAUGUGGUGCUACCGCUACAGGGUUUUUACACAUUGCUAACCAAUUCCUGAAGAUAUUUUCUGGUUUGUUAUCUUGUAGGAAAUUCCCCUUAAUCCUUUCUGAUCGAAACCUAAUUCUAACAAAUCAUGUGUUCUUUCCAACUUUCCUUUCCUUGAUCGAUGAGUAUUUGGGUCUGAAAAUGUUUUCUGUUUGUGCAGGUUUCAAAUGUUGCAAUUCAGGAGAGUUUAAUUGUGCUUCUUUUAUGUACACUGAUUUGCUUGUUUGAAUUUUCUUUAUCAAAGGAGUAAAUCUAACUGAUGAAAGUUUAAACCUUACUUUGCAGGUCCUCUUGUGUUUGUGCUCAGCAGGAAACAACAAGCUUGGUUUAAAUUCAUUGGCACCAUAAGCUGUUACUCCUUAACUGUGAGAAGGAAGACGGCAUUAAAUAGGUAUGAUGAACUACCUAGUGAGGAUGUGGCCGGCCAACUGUGUUCAAAACUAUCAGCUAAACAUGGUACAAUCUCUUUAGACUGUUAAGUUGCUGAUGAAGAUAGCUUGUAUGUAAUAUCUGAGGCCCGGAUGGAAUCUGCG
This is an RNA transcript of Arabidopsis lyrata subsp. lyrata, 1125 nucleotides long. RefSeq lists it as uncharacterized. NCBI's taxonomy places the organism in Eukaryota, Viridiplantae, Streptophyta, Magnoliopsida, Brassicales, Brassicaceae. The transcript is spliced from 3 exons. The record is from RefSeq and is a predicted model, not a curated record.